UUAAUUGAAGAGUUUGAUCAUGGCUCAGAUUGAACGCUGGCGGCAGGCCUAACACAUGCAAGUCGAGCGGUAACAGGGGGAGCUUGCUUCCCGCUGACGAGCGGCGGACGGGUGAGUAAUGUAUGGGGAUCUGCCCGAUAGAGGGGGAUAACUACUGGAAACGGUGGCUAAUACCGCAUAAUCUCUUAGGAGCAAAGCAGGGGACCUUUUGGCCUUGCGCUGUCGGAUGAACCCAUAUGGGAUUAGCUAGUAGGUAAGGUAAUGGCUUACCUAGGCGACGAUCCCUAGCUGGUCUGAGAGGAUGAUCAGCCACACUGGGACUGAGACACGGCCCAGACUCCUACGGGAGGCAGCAGUGGGGAAUAUUGCACAAUGGGCGCAAGCCUGAUG
Molecule: ribosomal RNA, 390 nt
Filed under: Morganella morganii
Lineage: Bacteria; Pseudomonadati; Pseudomonadota; Gammaproteobacteria; Enterobacterales; Morganellaceae
Description: bacterial SSU rRNA
Rfam family: Bacterial small subunit ribosomal RNA
Source: RNAcentral